This is an RNA transcript of Solanum stenotomum, 1358 nucleotides long. RefSeq lists it as uncharacterized. The record is from RefSeq and is a predicted model, not a curated record. NCBI's taxonomy places the organism in Eukaryota, Viridiplantae, Streptophyta, Magnoliopsida, Solanales, Solanaceae. The transcript has 3 exons.
AAACUGAUUAUUACAAUUAUAAAGUGCCCCUCUCUCCUACGCGAAAAUAGUAUUUUCAUCUCUCUCCAUCUCAUGCUCUUUACAUCCAGAAAGUGCGAGUCCUCUCCGUGUUGUCGCCGGCACCUCUCCUCUCAUUGAGGGAGCUCGACUUUUACAUUGCUGGCGAUUGACGCGAAUUUGCUCCGAUCGAUUCGACGGCUGCUGUCGUUCAUUUCUCUUCUAUUGUGCAGGAAUCGUGACCGGCUGCCAAAGAUUAACUGUUUAAGGUUAUGGCUCUUGACAGCGUAAUAACUUCUCCUCAUAGGAGGUCACAGACACAAACAGCAUUUUCAUCUACUGAUCCAAAGAAGAAUCAAUACUCCCGAAGUAAUGAACUUGGGAGCUGUUCAACAGUACUUCAGCGCCACCGGUUCCUUCUAACUGCGCUUGGCCUCCUAGCUUUUCUCUGCACUAUCUAUCUUUACUUUGCUGUCACUCUAGGGGCUGGUGACUCCUGUUCUGACUUGACAGGGACUCAAAAAGCAGCAUGUUAUGUGGAGCGCGGGAAAGCACACAUGGGCAAAGGAAAACUUAAGUUCUUUUAGCAAAUUGAUGGCUGCAGGCUAAUAUCUUAGUAUAUGAUAAUUUCUUUUUCUUCUGAUAGGCAGGAAUUCCUAUCCAAAGUGUUUACUUAGGUUCUUUGGGUCUAUUGGGUGAUCAUUAGUUUGAUUGUAUUCUUAAAGAUGUAUAAUUUGGUUAUGGGAAACUGUUUGACAUCCGUAAAUAGGUCUAUCUAUUGGGAUGAACUCAACUGAGGGAUGUUGGUGAGGCUCGAGUGACUGUUAAAUGGCAUAUCUUGUGGACAAUGUGAUUAUGAAUGUAUGGUAAAGAUGACAUUAUUAGGUGCAAAUGAAAAAAAAUAAUAGAAAAAAUAUCACCUUUUGAGACUUCUUGACAUCACUCCAUCCUUUGCGUGUGACCGGUGUGGGUUGGGCUUUUAUAAAUACUUGCAGCGACUUUUUCGUUAGGCCGAAAGUUCUUUGUAAUGUAAUUUGUUGUGCCUUUUUGUCUUUGUCAGAACGUCAUAAUCCGCGUUUCACCGACUCUUACAUGUGACUAGUGUGUUGUAUUUUCUAGGGGAGGUUGGGACUAUGAAGUUGACUCUCUUAUGCUGUUUGCCAUAAAAGCCUCAACUCAUCCAGGACUUUCUCCUAAGGAUAUACUGAAAGUCCACAAUAAUGCGUGGAAAGUUUCUCUUGUAUGAAAGCCAAUUCGAAACAAGCAAUAAAAGACUCCUCCUGGACACCUUUGGGACAUGCGUUACCUUGAAAAAUUCCUUAGCAUAAAACUAUUUAUCUCCACUGGUGUCCUACUUAACA